RNAcentral lists this ribosomal RNA (511 nucleotides) under Physcia sp. RNAcentral's name for it is "partial large subunit ribosomal RNA". It matches the Rfam family "Eukaryotic large subunit ribosomal RNA", at positions 76 to 591 of the family's 3401-position model. The record is from RNAcentral. Lineage: Eukaryota; Fungi; Ascomycota; Lecanoromycetes; Caliciales; Physciaceae.
UGCCCCAGUAACGGCGAGUGAAGCGGCAACAGCUCAAAUUUGAAAUCUGGCUUCUUCGGAGUCCGAGUUGUAAUUUGUAGAGGGUGUUUCGGGCGAGGCGCCGGCCUAAGUUCCUUGGAACAGGACGUCAUAGAGGGUGAGAAUCCCGUAUGCGGCCGGCGACCGACUCCAUGUGAAACCCCUUCGACGAGUCGAGUUGUUUGGGAAUGCAGCUCAAAAUGGGUGGUAUAUUUCAUCUAAAGCUAAAUACCGGCCAGAGACCGAUAGCGCACAAGUAGAGUGAUCGAAAGAUGAAAAGCACUUUGGAAAGAGAGUUAAAAAGUACGUGAAAUUGUUGAAAGGGAAGCGCUUGCAACCAGAUCCGUCUCCGGGUGAUCAGCCUCCGUUUUCGGUGGUGCACUCGCCCGGUUAUGGGCCAGCAUCGGUUUGGGCGGUUGGAUAAAGGCCAGAGGAACGUAGCUCCCCCCGGGGAGUGUUAUAGCCUCGGUGUCAUGCAGCCAGCCCGGACCGA